UCUCUCUGAAUCUGCGAACGGCUCCGCAAACCAGUUGUAAACUAUCGCAAGCCAUCCCUCGCUGAGUCCCUAACCGGACGAGGCUUGGGCUAGUUGGAUAACCCUGGUAAUUCUGAGGCUAAUACAUGCCCAUACAACCCCUUCUCAAGCAGGCACGCUCAAAAAGUGAGCCAGCGCGAGUCGGGGGGGUGUGUUCCUUAGCUUUGGAUGACAGGGAAUGGGUACACGCUCGGACCGCCUUAAAAAAUGGCUAGGUUUCGCUGACUCCCUCUGGGGACUGAUGCAAGCUUAGCCUGGUGGCUCUUGCCGUGUGCUUCUGACCUAUCAACUAGACUGCAGCGUAAUGGACAUGCUUUGGUUACAACGGGUACAGAGGAUUAGGGUUCGAUCCUGGAGAGUGGGCCUGAGAGAUU
Molecule: ribosomal RNA, 413 nt
Filed under: Elaeomyxa cerifera
Lineage: Eukaryota; Evosea; Eumycetozoa; Physariida; Elaeomyxaceae
Description: SSU rRNA
Rfam family: Eukaryotic small subunit ribosomal RNA
Source: RNAcentral